This 492-nucleotide ribosomal RNA is filed under the name uncultured bacterium. RNAcentral's name for it is "partial 16S ribosomal RNA". It matches the Rfam family "Bacterial small subunit ribosomal RNA", at positions 29 to 507 of the family's 1533-position model. The record is from RNAcentral.
AGUGAACGCUGGCGGUAGGCCUAACACAUGCAAGUCGAACGGCAGCACAGUAAGAGCUUGCUCUUACGGGUGGCGAGUGGCGGACGGGUGAGGAAUACAUCGGAAUCUACUUUUUCGUGGGGGAUAACGUAGGGAAACUUACGCUAAUACCGCAUACGACCUCCGGGUGAAAGCAGGGGAUCUUCGGACCUUGCGCGAUUGAAUGAGCCGAUGUCGGAUUAGCUAGUUGGCGGGGUAAAGGCCCACCAAGGCGACGAUCCGUAGCUGGUCUGAGAGGAUGAUCAGCCAGACUGGAACUGAGACACGGUCCAGACUCCGACGGGAGGAAGCAGUGGGGAAUAUUGGACAAGGGGCGAAAGCCUGAUCCAGCCAUACCGCGUGGGUGAAGAAGGACUGCGGGUUGUAAAGCCCUUUUGUUGGGAAAGAAAAGCAGCAGGUUAAUACCCCGCUGUUCUGACGGUACCCAAAGAAUAAGCACCGGCUAACUUCGUG